This is a small nucleolar RNA of Arabis alpina (gray rockcress), 106 nucleotides long. It matches the Rfam family "Plant small nucleolar RNA R71". From Rfam's summary of the family: R71 is a member of the C/D box family of snoRNAs containing the C (UGAUGA) and D (CUGA) box motifs. NCBI's taxonomy places the organism in Eukaryota, Viridiplantae, Streptophyta, Magnoliopsida, Brassicales, Brassicaceae. The record is from Rfam.
AUUCCAUGGUGAGGACAGCUUCUAGUGUAUCCUUUCAAAUGCUCCCAAGCUUCACUUAGAGAUUCUUGACCACUUUGCCUAAAAGAGUUUAUAUGACUUUUGUACU